GAAAUGCGAUAAUUAAUGUGAAUUGCAGAAUUCAGUGAAUCAUCGAGUCUUUGAACGCACAUUGCGCCCCCUGGUAUUCCGGGGGGCAUGCCUGUCCGAGCGUCAUUGCUGCACUCAAGCACGGCUUGUGUGUUGGGCUUCCGUCCCUGGCAACGGGGACGGGCCCAAAAGGCAGUGGCGGCACCAUGUCUGGUCCUCGAGCGUAUGGGGCUUUGUCACCCGCUCCCGUAGGUCCAGCUGGCAGCUAGCCUCGCAACCAAUCUUUUUAACCAGGUUGACCUCGGAUCAGGUAGGGAUACCCGCUGAACUUAAGC
Molecule: unclassified non-coding RNA, 314 nt
Filed under: plant metagenome
Description: partial contains 5.8S ribosomal RNA, internal transcribed spacer 2, and large subunit ribosomal RNA
Rfam family: 5.8S ribosomal RNA (bases 1-105)
Source: RNAcentral